Molecule: unclassified non-coding RNA, 234 nt
Filed under: plant metagenome
Description: partial contains small subunit ribosomal RNA, internal transcribed spacer 1, and 5.8S ribosomal RNA
Source: RNAcentral
UUUCCGUAGGUGAACCUGCGGAAGGAUCAUUACUGAGUGAGUCCCCUCUGGGUUCAACCUCCCACCCGUGUUUAUUGUACCUUGUUGCUUAGGUGAGCCCGCCUCACGGCCGCCGGGGGUCAUCUGCCCCCGGGCCCGCGCCCCCCGAAGACACCCUUGGACCCUGUCUGAAGUUUGCAGUCUUGGCGAAAACUAAGUAAGUUAAAACUUUCAACAACGGAUCUCUUGGUUCCG